CACGUAAGGGGCAAGCGUUGUUCGGAAUUAUUGGGCGUAAAGGGUGCGUAGGCGGUUACGCAAGCCCGGCGUGAAAUCCUGGAGCUUAACUCCAGAAUGGCGCCGGGAACUGCGUGACUUGAGUCAUGGAAGGGAAGUUAGAAUUCCAGGUGUAGGGGUGAAAUCUGUAGAUAUCUGGAAGAAUACCGGUGGCGAAGGCGAACUUCUGGCCAAUGACCGACGCUGAGGCACGAAAGUGCGGGGAGCAAACAGG
RNAcentral lists this ribosomal RNA (253 nucleotides) under uncultured bacterium. Its description in RNAcentral is "partial 16S ribosomal RNA". It matches the Rfam family "Bacterial small subunit ribosomal RNA", at positions 524 to 776 of the family's 1533-position model. The record is from RNAcentral.